GAUGAACGCUAGCGGCAGGCCUAACACAUGCAAGUCGAGGGGUAACAGGGAGUGCUUGCACUUCGCUGACGACCGGCGCACGGGUGCGUAACGCGUAUACAAUCUACCUUUUGCUGAGGGAUAGCCUUUGGAAACGAAGAUUAAUACCUCAUAGUAUGUAGGGAUGGCAUCAUCCUUAUAUUAAAGGUUACGGCAAAAGAUGAGUAUGCGUUCUAUUAGCUAGAUGGUGUGGUAACGGCACACCAUGGCAACGAUAGAUAGGGGCCCUGAGAGGGGGAUCCCCCACACUGGUACUGAGACACGGACCAGACUCCUACGGGAGGCAGCAGUGAGGAAUAUUGGACAAUGGGCGCAAGCCUGAUCCAGCCAUGCCGCGUGCAGGAGGACUGCCCUAUGGGUUGUAAACUGCUUUUAUACAGGAAGAAACCGCUCUACGUGUAGAGCCUUGACGGUACUGUAAGAAUAAGGAUCGGCUAACUCCGUGCCAGCAGCCGCGGUAAUACGGAGGAUCCAAGCGUUAUCCGGAAUCAUUGGGUUUAAAGGGUCCGUAGGUGGAUAAUUAAGUCAGAGGUGAAAUCCUGCAGCUCAACUGUAGAAUUGCCUUUGAUACUGGUUAUCUUGAAUUAUUGUGAAGUAGUUAGAAUAUGUAGUGUAGCGGUGAAAUGCAUAGAUAUUACAUAGAAUACCAAUUGCGAAGGCAGAUUACUAACAAUAUAUUGACACUGAUGGACGAAAGCGUGGGGAGCGAACAGGAUUAGAUACCCUGGUAGUCCACGCCGUAAACGAUGGUCACUAGCUGUUCGGAUUUAUCUGAGUGGCUAAGCGAAAGUGAUAAGUGACCCACCUGGGGAGUACGUUCGCAAGAAUG
RNAcentral lists this ribosomal RNA (868 nucleotides) under uncultured bacterium. RNAcentral's name for it is "bacterial SSU rRNA". It matches the Rfam family "Bacterial small subunit ribosomal RNA", at positions 28 to 896 of the family's 1533-position model. The record is from RNAcentral.